UACGAAGGGGGCUAGCGUUGCUCGGAAUCACUGGGCGUAAAGCGCACGUAGGCGGAUUCCUAAGUCGGUGGUGAAAUCCUGGAGCUCAACUCCAGAACUGCCUCCGAUACUUAGAGUCUUCGAGUCCGGGAGAGGUGAGUGGAACUGCGAGUGUAGAGGUGAAAUUCGUAGAUAUUCGGAAGAACACCAGUGGCGAAGGCGGCUCACUGGACGACUGUUGACGCUGAGGUGCGAAAGCGUGGGGAGCAAACAGG
RNAcentral lists this ribosomal RNA (254 nucleotides) under uncultured bacterium. RNAcentral describes it as "partial 16S ribosomal RNA". It matches the Rfam family "Bacterial small subunit ribosomal RNA", at positions 524 to 776 of the family's 1533-position model. The record is from RNAcentral.